CCCGCCACUAAGCCUGUCUUGUGUAAGUGACUGGUUAUAGUCCAGUGGUGAGCUAAGAGCAAUCCCAGCUUAAGGAAGCAGAGCCAUUCUGUUGGCUGUGAAGAGCUCUGUGCCGAAAGGCUGGGAACACUG
Molecule: small nucleolar RNA, 132 nt
Filed under: Sphenodon punctatus (tuatara)
Lineage: Eukaryota; Metazoa; Chordata; Lepidosauria; Sphenodontia; Sphenodontidae
Description: Small nucleolar RNA SNORA65 (ENSSPUG00000015484.1)
Rfam family: Small nucleolar RNA SNORA65
About the family: U65 belongs to the H/ACA class of snoRNAs which are thought to guide the sites of modification of uridines to pseudouridines.
Source: Rfam by way of RNAcentral